GUGAGUUUGUGUUGGUAUAAAGCCAAACACGCCGAGUUAAGUCACCAAACAGCGUUUCGUUUAUGUAACAGUCUGCACGCAAGGUCUCUGCUGGAGUACGCAGCUAACUUUAGCUUACCUAACAAGUUAACCAUUAACUCGAAACAGACCACACAGUCAAGCAAAACUCACCUUCCAGGUCCCCAGUCCCAAAAUAGGGCACUGUGCGCCGGUGUUGAGCUUCACUGUCGUUACCAUUUCUUCAGAGGACGCGCGGCUGUCACGGUCGAGCGGGGAAGGGGCAGCAAACGCAACGCAGACAAAGCUGAGGGGUCGUCGAUCGAUUAGUGAUGCCUUUUACUUCAUUCGGGUGAGAUGAGGCCACACACCCUUAUCAAUUUAAAUUUAUUUGGCUUUACCUUCUCUGAACAUUUUAACGACCAAAAGCAGACCCAGUAAAGGGAUUAUCUAUCUGGUUGUGAACACCUGUGAGGUAAUUUACUAACCACCCUGUUAAAUAUAAUAUGUUGUUUAAGAACUGCUUUAAAAUGAUUAACAAAGAAUAAAAAAUAUAAUUGAAGUUUGCUAAAAAAAAAAAAAAA
Molecule: long non-coding RNA, 581 nt
Filed under: Xyrichtys novacula (pearly razorfish)
Lineage: Eukaryota; Metazoa; Chordata; Actinopteri; Labriformes; Labridae
Source: RNAcentral